Molecule: ribosomal RNA, 360 nt
Filed under: Triticum aestivum (bread wheat)
Lineage: Eukaryota; Viridiplantae; Streptophyta; Magnoliopsida; Poales; Poaceae
Description: partial small subunit ribosomal RNA
Source: RNAcentral
AUGGCACAUAACAGAGCCCCCGGCCCGAAUGACAUCACUGUUGAAUUCUAUCAGGUGUGCUGGGACAUAGUUAAAUGUGAUAUUAUGAGCCUUUUUGAGCAUUUUCAUAAAGGGACUUUAGAUGUACAGCGCCUCAACCAUGGAGUGAUCACACUUUCGCCUAAAACUGCUGGUGUGGAUACAAUCCAGCAAUUUAGGCCUAUCUGCCUCCUGAGAUGCCCGUACAAACUAAUCACUAAGACCUUAGAUCGGCGAGUUGAGAGGUAAACUGACAAGUUAAUUAGCUCGACCCAGAAUGCAUUUGUGAAAGGGAGAAGCAUUAUGGACGGUGUGCUUUCGCUGCAUGAGAUUUUGUCCUGA